This 467-nucleotide ribosomal RNA is filed under the name uncultured bacterium. Its description in RNAcentral is "partial 16S ribosomal RNA". It matches the Rfam family "Bacterial small subunit ribosomal RNA", at positions 28 to 507 of the family's 1533-position model. The record is from RNAcentral.
GACGAACGCUGGCGGCGUGCUUAACACAUGCGAGUCGAACGGAAAGGCCUCUUUCGGGGGGUACUCGAGAGGCGAACGGGUGAGUAACACGUGAGUAUACUGCCCUUGACAUUGGGAUAAAUUUUGGAAACUGGGGCUAAUACCGGAUAGGAGAUCCUGCUGCAUGGUGGGGGGUGGAAAGUUUCGGCGGUUGGGGAUGGGCUCGCGGCGUAUCAACGUGUUUGUGGGGUGGUGGCUUACCAAGGCGUUGACGGGGAGCCGGCCUGGGAGGGUGACCGGGCACAAUGGGGCUGAGAUACGGGCCAGACUCCCACGGGGAGCAGCAAGUGGGAAUAUUGCACAAUGGGUGGGAACCUGGUGCAAGAACGCCGGGUGCGGGGUGACGGCCUUCGGGUUUGAAACCGCUUUCGGUCUGGACGGAACUUUGUGUGACGGUAGUGGGUAAAGAAGCACCGGCUAACUACGUG